CUAAGCGGGAAACUUGCCUCAAGAUGAGAUCUCACUGGGAACUUGAUUCCCCUGAAGGGCCGUCGAAGACUACGACGUUGAUAGGCUGGGUGUGUAAGCGUUGUGAGGCGUUGAGCUAACCAGUACUAAUUGCCCGUGAGGCUUGACCAUAUAACACCCAAACA
Molecule: ribosomal RNA, 164 nt
Filed under: Pseudomonas aeruginosa
Lineage: Bacteria; Pseudomonadati; Pseudomonadota; Gammaproteobacteria; Pseudomonadales; Pseudomonadaceae
Description: partial 23S ribosomal RNA
Rfam family: Bacterial large subunit ribosomal RNA
Source: RNAcentral